Molecule: ribosomal RNA, 253 nt
Filed under: uncultured bacterium
Lineage: Bacteria
Description: partial 16S ribosomal RNA
Rfam family: Bacterial small subunit ribosomal RNA
Source: RNAcentral
UACAGAGGAGCCAAGCGUUGUCCGGAUUGACUGGGCGUAAAGCGCACGCAGGCGGACGCGCGCGUGGGGUGUGAAAUCUGGCCGCUUAACGGCCAGGCGCCAUCCCAUACGGCGCGUCUGGAGUGAUGCAGAGGUCGGUGGAAUUGCCGGUGUAGUGGUGAAAUGCGUAGAGAUCGGCAGGAACACCCAGGGGGAAACCAGCCGACUGGGCAUUUGCUGACGCUGAGGUGCGAGAGCGUGGGGAGCGAACCGG